ACGACUCUCGGCAACGGAUAUCUCGGCUCUCGCAUCGAUGAAGAACGUAGCGAAAUGUGAUACCUGGUGUGAAUUGCAGAAUCCCGCGAACCAUCGAGUCUUUGAAUGCAAGUUGCGCCCGAGGCCACCCGGUCGAGGGCAUGCCUGCCUGGGCGUCAUGC
RNAcentral lists this ribosomal RNA (161 nucleotides) under Nenga pumila var. pachystachya. RNAcentral describes it as "5.8S rRNA". It matches the Rfam family "5.8S ribosomal RNA". From Rfam's summary of the family: 5.8S ribosomal RNA (5.8S rRNA) is a component of the large subunit of the eukaryotic ribosome. The record is from RNAcentral. Lineage: Eukaryota; Viridiplantae; Streptophyta; Magnoliopsida; Arecales; Arecaceae.